UGAGGAAUAUUGGGCAGUGCCCGCAAGGGUGACCCAGCAACGCCGCGUGGAGGAUGAAUGUCGUAAGAUUGUAAACUCCUGUUAGAGGGGAAGAAUAGUACCGGUUGGACCGGUAUAUGACUGUACCCUCAGAGAAAGCCCCGGCUAACUACGUGCCAGCAGCCGCGGUAACACGUAGGGGGCAAGCGUUGUCCGGAUUUACUGGGUGUAAAGGGCGCGCAGGCGGGAUAAAAAGUCAGUGGUGAAAUCCUACAGCUUAACUGUAGAACUGCCUUUGAUACUUUUAUUCUUGAGUUCGGGAGAGAGAGACGGAAUUCCAGGUGUAGUGGUGAAAUACGUAGAUAUCUGGAAGAACACCCGUUGCGAAGGCGGUCUCUUGGUCCGACACUGACGCUGAGGCGCGAAAGCGUGGGGAGCAAACA
RNAcentral lists this ribosomal RNA (422 nucleotides) under uncultured bacterium. RNAcentral describes it as "bacterial SSU rRNA". It matches the Rfam family "Bacterial small subunit ribosomal RNA", at positions 355 to 774 of the family's 1533-position model. The record is from RNAcentral.